UACAGAGGGUGCAAGCGUUAAUCGGAAUUACUGGGCGUAAAGCGCGCGUAGGCGGUUUAAUCAGUCGGAUGUGAAAGCCCCGGGCUCAACCUGGGAACUGCAUUCGAAACUGUUAAGCUAGAGUAUGGUAGAGGGAAGUGGAAUUCCAGGUGUAGCGGUGAAAUGCGUAGAUAUCUGGAGGAACAUCAGUGGCGAAGGCGACUUCCUGGACCAAUACUGACGCUGAGGUGACGAAAGCGUGGGGAGCAAACAGGAUUAGAUACCCGCGUA
RNAcentral lists this ribosomal RNA (270 nucleotides) under uncultured prokaryote. RNAcentral describes it as "partial 16S ribosomal RNA". It matches the Rfam family "Bacterial small subunit ribosomal RNA", at positions 524 to 792 of the family's 1533-position model. The record is from RNAcentral.